AUUCCAGCUCCAAUAGCGUAUAUUAAAGUUGUUGCGGUUAAAAAGCUCGUAGUUGGAUCUCGGCGAACAGGGGGCGGUUCGUUAUUUGACGGUACUGCCCCAUUUGUUCGUAUUUUUGCAAGAGGGUUGGGGGUCCCCUUCAUUGGGUGUCUCCGGUCGCUUGCAGGUUUACUUUGAAAAAAUUAGAGUGCUCAAAGCAGGCUACAAAGCUUGAAUAUUUGUGCAUGGAAUAAUGGAAUAGGAAGUCGUUUCUAUUUUUUUGGUUUUCGGAAAUUGACUUAAUGAUUAAUAGGGACAGCCGGGGGCAUUAGUACUCAGACGACAGAGGUGAAAUUCUUGGACCGUUUGAGGACUAACUACUGCGAAAGCAUUUGCCAAGAGUGUUUUCAUUAAUCAAGAACGAAAGUUAGAGGUUCGAAGGCGAUCAGAUACCGCCCUAGUUCUAACCAUAAACGAUGCCAGCUAGCGAUCUGCGGGUGUGUAAAAACAAGACCCCGCAGGGAGCUUCCGGGAAACCAAAGCUUGUGGGUUCCGGGGGAAGUAUGGUUGCAAAGCUGAAACUUAAAGGAAUUGACGGAAGGGCACCACCAGGAGUGGAGCCUGCGGCUUAAUUUGACUCAACACGGGAAAUCUCACCAGGCCCGGACACCGGAAGGAUUGACAGAUUGAGAGCUC
RNAcentral lists this ribosomal RNA (675 nucleotides) under uncultured metazoan. Its description in RNAcentral is "SSU rRNA". It matches the Rfam family "Eukaryotic small subunit ribosomal RNA", at positions 582 to 1257 of the family's 1831-position model. The record is from RNAcentral. Lineage: Eukaryota; Metazoa.